Dermacentor albipictus is the source of this 743-nucleotide long non-coding RNA. RefSeq lists it as uncharacterized. NCBI's taxonomy places the organism in Eukaryota, Metazoa, Arthropoda, Arachnida, Ixodida, Ixodidae. The record is from RefSeq and is a predicted model, not a curated record.
CUCACUUCCACGGUUGUGUGCACAAAUGUUCACAAACUGCAUAUUCGGCUACAAAAAUGAUAGCGUAAUAUGACAGGAGUGAGAUUUCUUUAGACCAACGUGUAUUUCAUAGUGUGCAAUGUGCCCUUUAUAAUAUGUGAACGCCUUCUAUUCCUAUGUGCAAUGCAGUGGCACAGUUGCAGCAUCGCUGGAAUUGUCUUCGACAGAAGUUCCUCCGACUGCGAAAGACAUACGCCAAGUCUGGCAGUGGCGCAGCGGACGUUGCUAAAUCGUGGCUAUUGAUGCCCCAUCUCAUGUUCCUGGCAGACGCUAUACAACAUCGAAGCCUGGCGAGACAAGAUGCCUCAGCUGCUCUAUCUCUAGGUCACUCAGUCGAGUCAGCCAGUGACUCAGCAUCGUCGGUGGAGGGUUUGUGCCGCACAUUCUACAUUGACAGCACACAAGAUGCAUCAGUUCCUGACGAGGUGCUUCAAGUUUUGUCCACUGCAGACGCUUUGUCGAACCCAAGCAGCGAGGUGGACUCACGGCCUGUCAUUAUCGCACCAGGGACAUCAUCAGUGUGUUCAGACAAAAGUUAUGCACCACCUAAUGUUGUAAAAUGUGAUAUCAAACCGCCGCAUCAUGGGCGCGCUGUCACUGCGCAGGCGCCACGUUCUUUUUCUAUGUUCACUCAUUUUCCCUUUCCGCUUUUUUGCUUUAUAUAUACGUGCAUUAAAUUCUUGUGCGUUGUUCUCGGCUAACCA